UACGUAGGGGGCAAGCGUUGUCCGGAUUUAUUGGGCGUAAAGAGCUCGUAGGCGGCUUGUCACGUCGGGUGUGAAAGACCGGGGCUUAACUCCGGUUCUGCAUUCGAUACGGGCUAGCUAGAGUGUGGUAGGGGAGAUCGGAAUUCCUGGUGUAGCGGUGAAAUGCGUAGAUAUCUGGAGGAACACCGGUGGCGAAGGCGGCAUCCUGGACCAUUACUGACACUGAGAAGCGAAAGCCAGGGGAGCAAACGGG
This 253-nucleotide ribosomal RNA is filed under the name uncultured bacterium. RNAcentral describes it as "partial 16S ribosomal RNA". It matches the Rfam family "Bacterial small subunit ribosomal RNA", at positions 524 to 776 of the family's 1533-position model. The record is from RNAcentral.